UGGGGAAUUUUGGACAAUGGGGGAAACCCUGAUCCAGCCAUCCCGCGUGUGCGAUGAAGGCCUUCGGGUUGUAAAGCACUUUUGGCAGGAAAGAAACGUCAUGGGUUAAUACCCCGUGAAACUGACGGUACCUGCAGAAUAAGCACCGGCUAACUACGUGCCAGCAGCCGCGGUAAUACGUAGGGUGCAAGCGUUAAUCGGAAUUACUGGGCGUAAAGCGUGCGCAGGCGGUUCGGAAAGAAAGAUGUGAAAUCCCAGAGCUCAACUUUGGAACUGCAUUUUUAACUACCGCGCUAGAGUGUGUCAGAGGGAGGUGGAAUUCCGCGUGUAGCAGUGAAAUGCGUAGAUAUGCGGAGGAACACCGAUGGCGAAGGCAGCCUCCUGGGAUAACACUGACGCUCAUGCACGAAAGCGUGGGGAGCAAACAGG
Molecule: ribosomal RNA, 429 nt
Filed under: Acidobacteriota bacterium
Lineage: Bacteria; Pseudomonadati; Acidobacteriota
Description: Acidobacteria bacterium partial 16S ribosomal RNA
Rfam family: Bacterial small subunit ribosomal RNA
Source: RNAcentral